UGUUUUAAGGACACUGAGGGAUCCUUUGUUCUGGAUCCCUCAGUGUCCUUAAAACA
MicroRNA precursor from Pan paniscus (pygmy chimpanzee), 56 nucleotides. NCBI's taxonomy places the organism in Eukaryota, Metazoa, Chordata, Mammalia, Primates, Hominidae. The record is from Ensembl.